AGUCCAUCCAGUGCCAAGAGGAGGAGGGCUUCUACCUCUCCCCUCCCUCUUCCCUGGAGGCUUGUCCACCCUGGGCACCUCCUCGUGGCCAGGACACUCCAAGGGCACCUACUCCACGGCCGCUCUGGGGCACAGGCGCAGACCAGGUCCUUCCAGGGACUCAGUCUGCUUGUCCUAAUCACUCGGAUGUGUUGGGAGAGGUGU
Peromyscus eremicus (cactus mouse) is the source of this 204-nucleotide long non-coding RNA. RefSeq lists it as uncharacterized. The record is from RefSeq and is a predicted model, not a curated record. Lineage: Eukaryota; Metazoa; Chordata; Mammalia; Rodentia; Cricetidae. The transcript has 3 exons.